CCUACGGGGGGCAGCAGUGGGGAAUUUUGGACAAUGGGGGCAACCCUGAUCCAGCCAUGCCGCGUGAGUGAAGAAGGCCUUCGGGUUGUAAAGCUCUUUCGGCCGGGAAGAAAUCGCUUCGGCUAAUACCUGGAGUGGAUGACGGUACCGGAAGAAGAAGCACCGGCUAACUACGUGCCAGCAGCCGCGGUAAUACGUAGGGUGCGAACGGGAAUCGAAAUUACUGGGCGUGAAUCGUGAGCAGGCGGGUGAAAUCCCCGGGCUUAACCUGGGAACUGCGUUUGUGACUGCGAGACUUGAGUGCGGCAGAGGGGGGUGGAAUUCCACGUGUAGCAGUGAAAUGCGUAGAGAUGUGGAGGAACACCGAUGGCGAAGGCAGCCCCCUGGGUCGACACUGACGCUCAUGCACGAAAGCGUGGGGAGCAAACAGGAUUAGAUACCCCUGUAGUC
Molecule: ribosomal RNA, 450 nt
Filed under: uncultured bacterium
Lineage: Bacteria
Description: partial 16S ribosomal RNA
Rfam family: Bacterial small subunit ribosomal RNA
Source: RNAcentral